CGAUCUUCUUCGGAAGAGAGCGGCGGACGGGUGAGUAACGCGUGGGUAACCUGCCUCAUACACAUGGAUAACAUACCGAAAGGUAUGCUAAUACAAGAUGAUAUAAGAGAUUCGCAUGGAUUUCUUAUCAAAGCUCCGGCGGUACAGGAUGGACCCGCGUCUGAUUAGCUAGUUGGUGAGGUAAUGGCUCACCAAGGCGACGAUCAGUAGCCGACCUGAGAGGGUGAUCGGCCACAUUGGAACUGAGACACGGUCCAAACUCC
Molecule: ribosomal RNA, 263 nt
Filed under: uncultured Peptostreptococcaceae bacterium
Lineage: Bacteria; Bacillati; Bacillota; Clostridia; Peptostreptococcales; Peptostreptococcaceae
Description: partial 16S ribosomal RNA
Rfam family: Bacterial small subunit ribosomal RNA
Source: RNAcentral